This 433-nucleotide ribosomal RNA is filed under the name uncultured bacterium. Its description in RNAcentral is "partial 16S ribosomal RNA". It matches the Rfam family "Bacterial small subunit ribosomal RNA", at positions 29 to 507 of the family's 1533-position model. The record is from RNAcentral.
AACGAACGCUGGCGGCAUGCCUAACACAUGCAAGUCGAACGAGACCUUCGGGUCUAGUGGCGCACGGGUGCGUAACGCGUGGGAACCUGCCCUUAGGUUCGGCAUAACUACCCGAAAGGGGUGCUAAUACCGGACAAUGUCUUCGGCCCAAAGAUUUAUCGCAUUUGGAUGGGCACGCGUUGGAUUAGCUAGUUGUUAGGGUAAUAGCCUACCAAGGCGACGAUCCAUAGCUGGUCUGAGAGGAUGAUCAGCCACACUGGGACUGAGACACGGCCCAGACUCCUACGGGAGGCAGCAGUGGGGAAUAGUGGACAAUGGGCGAAAUCCUGAUCCAGCAAUGCCGCGUGAGUGAUGAAGGCCGGAGGGUUGUAAAGCUCUUUUACCCGGGAUGAUAAUGACAGUACCGGGAGAAUAAGCUCCGGCUAACUCCGUG